Callithrix jacchus (white-tufted-ear marmoset) is the source of this 143-nucleotide small nucleolar RNA. Ensembl annotates it as small nucleolar RNA, C/D box 97. Its record names the gene SNORD97. Lineage: Eukaryota; Metazoa; Chordata; Mammalia; Primates; Cebidae. The record is from Ensembl.
UUGCCCAAUGAUUAUAAAAAGACGCGUUAUAAAGAGGACUUAUGCUGGAGUUUUUUACAUUUUUCUCUCUUUCCUAUACUACUAUUUUCUUUCUUUAAAUAGUCCAGCGUCCUAUGAGCGAAGAUUAUGAGAUAUGAGGGCAA